This 136-nucleotide small RNA is filed under the name uncultured Mediterraneibacter sp. RNAcentral describes it as "Ribosomal protein L10 leader". It matches the Rfam family "Ribosomal protein L10 leader", at positions 14 to 135 of the family's 138-position model. From Rfam's summary of the family: This family is a putative r-protein leader autoregulatory structure found in B. subtilis and other low-GC Gram-positive bacteria. It is located in the 5' untranslated regions of mRNAs encoding ribosomal proteins L10 and L12 (rplJ-rplL). The record is from RNAcentral. Lineage: Bacteria; Bacillati; Bacillota; Clostridia; Lachnospirales; Lachnospiraceae.
UAUAUGAGCAACUGCCGAAGACAGUAGGUGCUGUAAAGCGUAAGUUUGUGAACGCCUACCGAGGAGAGUCAGAUUUAUUACGAGAGUAUGAAUUUACAAACCUCUGUGUCUUUGGGUGCAGAGGUUUUUUAUUUUA